RNAcentral lists this ribosomal RNA (236 nucleotides) under uncultured Staphylococcus sp. RNAcentral's name for it is "partial 16S ribosomal RNA". It matches the Rfam family "Bacterial small subunit ribosomal RNA", at positions 104 to 334 of the family's 1533-position model. Lineage: Bacteria; Bacillati; Bacillota; Bacilli; Caryophanales; Staphylococcaceae. The record is from RNAcentral.
GGGUGAGUAACACGUGGAUAACCUACCUAUAAGACUGGGAUAACUUCGGGAAACCGGAGCUAAUACCGGAUAAUAUUUUGAACCGCAUGGCUCAAAAGUGAAAGACGGUCUUGCUGUCACUUAUAGAUGGAUCCGCGCUGCAUUAGCCAGUUGGUAAGGUAACGGCUUACCAAGGCAACGAUGCAUAGUCGACCUGAGAGGGUGAUCGGCCACACUGGAACUGAGACACGGUCCAG